RNAcentral lists this long non-coding RNA (924 nucleotides) under Pongo abelii (Sumatran orangutan). Its description in RNAcentral is "lincRNA". Lineage: Eukaryota; Metazoa; Chordata; Mammalia; Primates; Hominidae. The record is from RNAcentral.
UUCACAGAGAAAGGAUUAUGUGAGGACACCAAGAGGUGACCAUCAGCAAGCCCAGGAGAGAGGCCUCAGAAGAAACCAGACCUGCCGAUUCCUUGAUCUUGAACUUCUAGCCUCCGGAACUAUCCAACUUGAAUGCUUCCUGAUUAAAUAUAUACAGGAGUGAUUUCAGAGGAAUUUAAGUUUUGGAUCAUCCUUUUGAGAAAGAAAAAAAAGUACCCUUUUAAAAGAGACUUUCUUCUGCCACUGCCACUCCUGAGACAACAUGACCAAUCUCUCCCUUUCCUCCUCCUCAGCGUACUUUCAACAUAAAGACGACGAGGAUAAAGGCAUUUAUGAUGAACUACUUCCACAUAAUGAAUAAUUGAACAAAGGAGAGAAUUGUGAGAGUGAGAAAAAGUAAGUGAGACAAAGAAGAAAAACUAUAAAUCAGCAAAAUCCAGUGCCAAGAGCUCUGGACCACAAAUCAGAAGACCUGAGCCCUAAUUCCUUUCCAGUCAUUGGAUUUGUUCAUCGCUUGCCAAAACAGCAGCGAACUCUGUCAAACUGCAGCUCAUUUUAUCGGAGCAAAAACUGAACAAAGAACUGCUAUCAUGUCUGAGGUCAGAGGCAGUGCAGCUUGUGUUACAACUCAAAGAGUAAUACUUUGAAAAAAGAAAAAAAAGAUGGCGCUGAAAAUAAACAUGUUCAGCAGCCAUUGUGAUUCAACUUACCCAGAUGUGCUUUUCAUGAGAUGGAGAAGGACGGAUGGAAAAGAAAAGCACACAAAUGUUAAUGGAUACAGUUCAAUCCAAAGAAAACCAUGGAAUAAAACAAGAGCAUUAUUUAAGAUGUGAGAAAGCUCAGGUAUGAGAAAGACAUGGUGCCAUUUUGUAUUUCAUCAUGACACACAUACUCACUGCGUCGAAAAGCAUAGUCAGGCUGAGG